RNAcentral lists this ribosomal RNA (733 nucleotides) under uncultured eukaryote. Its description in RNAcentral is "SSU rRNA". It matches the Rfam family "Eukaryotic small subunit ribosomal RNA", at positions 557 to 1295 of the family's 1831-position model. The record is from RNAcentral.
UAGUCUGGUGCCAGCAGCCGCGGUAAUUCCAGCUCCAAUAGCGUAUAUUAAAGUUGUUGCAGUUAAAACGCUCGUAGUCGGAUUUCGGGGCAGGUUUGCCGNUCUGCCGAUGGGUAUGCACUGGUAGAAGUGUCCUUCCUUCCGGAGACGGCGCCUACUCUUAACUGAGCGGGUGUCGGAGACGGAUCGUUUACUUUGAAAAAAUCAGAGUGUUUCAAGCAGGCAGCUCGCUUUUGCAUGGAUUAGCAUGGGAUAAUGAAAUAGGACUUUGGUGCUAUUUUGUUGGUUUCGAACACCGAAGUAAUGAUUAACAGGGACAGUCAGGGGCACUCGUAUUCCGCCGAGAGAGGUGAAAUUCUUAGACCAGCGGAAGACGAACCACUGCGAAAGCAUUUGCCAGGGAUGUUUUCACUGAUCAAGAACGAAAGUUAGGGGAUCGAAGACGAUCAGAUACCGUCGUAGUCUUAACCAUAAACCAUGCCGACUAGGGAUUGGAGGAUGUUCCUAUGUGACUCCUUCAGCACCUUUCGGGAAACUAAAGUCUUUGGGUUCCGGGGGGAGUAUGGUCGCAAGGCUGAAACUUAAAGGAAUUGACGGAAGGGCACCACCAGGAGUGGAGCCUGCGGCUUAAUUUGACUCAACACGGGGAAACUUACCAGGUCCAGACAUUGUGAGGAUUGACAGAUUGAGAGCUCUUUCUUGAUUCGAUGGGUGGUGGUGCAUGGCCGUUCUU